AAUCUUGCACAAUGGGCGAAAGCCUGAUGCAGCCAUGCCGCGUGAAUGAUGAAGGCCUUAGGGUUGUAAAAUUCUUUCACCAAGGAUGAUAAUGACAGUACUUGGAGAAGGAGCCCCGGCUAACUUCGUGCCAGCAGCCGCGGUAAUACGAAGGGGGCUAGCGUUGUUCGGAAUUACUGGGCGUAAAGCGCGCGUAGGCGGACUUUUAAGUCAGAUGUGAAAUCCCGGGGCUCAACCCCGGAACUGCAUUUGAAACUGGAAGUCUGGAGGCCAGGAGAGGUCAGUGGAAUACCGAGUGGAGAGGUGAAAUUCGCAGAUAUUCGGUGGAACACCAGUGGCGAAGGCGACUGACUGGACUGGUACUGACGCUGAGGCGCGAAAGUGUGGGGAGCAAACAGG
RNAcentral lists this ribosomal RNA (399 nucleotides) under uncultured bacterium. RNAcentral describes it as "bacterial SSU rRNA". It matches the Rfam family "Bacterial small subunit ribosomal RNA", at positions 360 to 776 of the family's 1533-position model. The record is from RNAcentral.